Molecule: long non-coding RNA, 2825 nt
Filed under: Salvia miltiorrhiza (redroot sage)
Lineage: Eukaryota; Viridiplantae; Streptophyta; Magnoliopsida; Lamiales; Lamiaceae
Description: long non-coding RNA (SMIL_LNC005885)
Source: RNAcentral
UUUCUGGGAAAGGGGCUCUGAAUGAGCCAUGUUCUGAUGGGUGCGGCCCAUGGCAACGCCGUGGGCACGAGAUACAUACGCACCUACUAAGGCGUAGGCAGCUUUAUCUGCGUGAUGAUCGAUUGACCAUUAUGCCACUGAGAGUAACGGUUGUUGAAAUGCCUGCUUCUGUUGCUAUGUCAGAAGGGUAGUAUUGUAAAUUAAUCCUUCAAUUUCCAUGUCAUUAUCUUAUAAAUGUUUAUAUAUCACGAUGUUAUGGUAGAAUUAGAUUUUCUUUCUUGCUUNUAGUUUAUUCUACCUUACAAUUCACAAUUAAUGUAGGUUUAGUUGUGAGUUCCCUUAAAUAGUUAUGAAUUUGCAAUUCAUGAUUAAAUAUUGUAAACUUAUCUUUUAUUUAUACUUCACAACUAAAAUGUUUUUCUACUAUGAAAUAAAUGUUUUGCUUACAAUUCACGAUCAAGACUUUAUAAAUUCGUGAAUUUUAACCUUUAUGAAUUAAAGGCAAAAUAAUGCGUUAAGCCAAAAAUAUAAUUAUUUAUAUUUUUUUCAGAAUUAUUGCUAUCUUUAUUAUAUUAAGUAAUUAAUUAUUUUGAUAUUGUAACUCUAAUAGCUAUCUCUAAUCGGCCUAAAAAAUAAAAUAAAACUGAGUCCAUUGUAGCAUGAUCUUCCAAUUCAUUUGUUUGAUUAUUAUAACUAGUGUGUAACCCAUCGAAAAUUUGGACGAAUGAUAUUUAUGUUUCGUUGUCACGCAUUAAUUUGUGAUGUUUGAUCUUUUAAUAGGUCUUUUUGAAAAUAUUCCUUUUGUUUCAAACAAAUAGUUUCAUGACACAACUUUUAGUAAAAAUUGUGAGUGAAAAAAUUAUCAUAUUUUAGAACUAGUAUUAAUAGAUUAAUUAAUUAUAUAUAAAUGGAGUAAGAGGCCCAUCAUCUAGUUGAAUAGGUAAAUAAUUGAUGUAUUAAGAAUAAUAUGUUAUGAAAAAUUAUCAUACCUUUUAAUUAAUUGUAUGUAAGUAGAGAAAGAGGUCAUCAUGUAAUUGAAUGAGUAAAUAAGUCGAUAUAUUAAAAGUAAUAUUGGAUGGUGUCUUAAAAUGAAAGUAAAUUAAUUUUUUAUGGAUUUACAAAAUGACAAAAAUAAACUAUUUUAUGCGAUAAAAUGAAUAUGAUACUAUUUGCCAUUUGCCAUGCCAAUAAGAUACAACACGAUUUAUGAUUAUAUGGGAUUGAUUUUAUAUAAAUAAACAGAUUUAUUAUAAAUAUAUUAUGAAAUAUUAAAUUGCUAUAAAUAUUAUAAAUAAAUAAAAUAAUUAUUAUAAAAAUCAUAUUUAAACCAUGAAUUCAUUUAACUUUAAAUUAAUACAUUAUAAAUCUUUAUAAUUAACUUAAAAGUGAAAUGAGAAGUUGAGUCUAAUUAAAAGACUUUAAUUUUAUUAAUACGGCAAACACGCUGGACCUUAUUAGGCUCUGAUGAUAUUCACUUGGCCACAUUGUUGCUUGGACUUCAAGAAAUUUCUUGAAAGCAUCCUCUCGAAGCUACUCGGCAGCCCCACACAAUCUGCACGAUCAAUUAUUCUAUUCCCCAUCUAAACCCCACGCCAAAAUUUAUUUCCACCUAUAUCCCCUCUAAACCCACACCUCUACCGUCCCUAUAUAAAAACCUCCACCUCCGCCCACUACUCAACCUCCUCCUUCUUCUCCAGAAGUACCAGAGCUGAUUCCAUGGUGGACGACGGCGGUGGCGGUGUCUGGCCGGCGUUCCCUGUAGCCUUCUUCGACGGCGAGAGGGAGAUGGACAUUGGCGACGUCAGGAUUAGUCCUGCCAUGGAGUACAAGUCCUUUCAGCUAAUGCUAAGCGAGAAGAUAGGGAUCUCACCCAAUCAGAUUUCGAUAUACCUCGUCAAUCGGAGAAGGAACCGGAAGUCUCCUUUCUCUGACGAUCGCCGUCGGAUUCCGAUCACCGGAAAGGCCAACUUCGGCGCGAUAUGUCGCCUGAAGGAAUGCUACUUCCUCGUCAUACUGAAGAGGUCGCGGAAGUCGAGGAGCCGCAGGGAGAGGACGAUGGCCGCCAAUUUCGUGUCUCGCGCGGCGGCGGUUCGUCCGGCGCCGGAGCAUCUGAUUCUGCUGAGGAGGAGUCAACCGGCGCCGCUAUACGGCCGGAUUGCUCAGCCGGAAGGAGGAGACGCGAAAUCGCCGUUGCUGAAAGGCGAUUUGUUUCCGGCGACUGAUCCGACGUGGUUGGCCAUGAACGGAAAUGGAGACGGCAAGGCCUUCUGUGAAGAAUGCUGGAACGCGGAGAAGAAUGGAGGUACGAUGUCGUUCCAUCCCUGCAUCAACGACGCGGUAAUUACUCGGUUCACCACGCGGUUAGGGCCGAUUAAUCGACCCAAUAAAUGCUCUUAAAAAUAUUAACUAUAUAUAUUCUACUUAAAUAGAAUAGAUAACAAUAGCAGUAUUUCUGGGAAAGGGGCUCUGAAUGAGCCAUGUUCUGAUGGGUGCGGCCCAUGGCAACACCGUGGGCACGUACAUACGCACCUACAGCUUUAUCUGCGUGAUGAUCGAUUGACCAUUAUGCCACUGAGAGUAACGGUUGUUGAAAUGCCUGCUUCUGUUGCUAUGUCAGAAGGGUAGUAUUGUAAAUUAAUCCUUCAAUUUUCCAUGUCAUUAUCUUAUAAAUGUUUAUAUAUCACGAUGUUAUGGUAGAAUUAGAUUUUCUUUUCUUGCUUCCUAAUCCUAGGUGUUGAACGAAUUUUUGUUUUGCCGAGUUUGAAAGUUCAAAGUUGAACGACCAAGCACAAAUUCAACUAUUUGUUCUAUUAUUCUACGUGAAA